RNAcentral lists this ribosomal RNA (460 nucleotides) under uncultured bacterium. Its description in RNAcentral is "partial 16S ribosomal RNA". It matches the Rfam family "Bacterial small subunit ribosomal RNA", at positions 338 to 795 of the family's 1533-position model. The record is from RNAcentral.
CCUACGGGAGGCAGCAGUGAGGAAUAUUGGUCAAUGGGCGGAAGCCUGAACCAGCCAAGUAGCGUGCAGGAUGACGGCCCUACGGGUUGUAAACUGCUUUUAUACGGGAAUAACGCGCCUUACGUGUAGGGCUUUGCAUGUACCGUAUGAAUAAGGACCGGCUAAUUCCGUGCCAGCAGCCGCGGUAAUACGGAAGGUCCGGGCGUUAUCCGGAUUUAUGGGGUUUAAAGGGGGCGUAGGCCGCAUGUCAAGCUUGCUGUGAAAUGUCCGGGCUCAACCCGGGCCUUGCAGCGGGAACGGGCGUGCUUGCGUCCGCGGAAGGCAAGCGGAAUUCGUCGUGUAGCGGUGAAAUGCUUAGAUAUGACGAAGAACACCGAUUGCGAAGGCAGCUUGCUGCAGCGGAACUGACGCUGAUGCUCGAAAGCGAGGGUAUCGAACAGGAUUAGAUACCCUGGUAGUC